UGAGCUAUAGCCAAGUGGCAAGGCGUUGGGUUUUGGUCCCGAGAUCACAAGUUCGAAUCUUGUUAGCUCAG
RNAcentral lists this transfer RNA (71 nucleotides) under Chlamydomonas priscui. Its description in RNAcentral is "Chlamydomonas sp. UWO 241 tRNA-Gln". It matches the Rfam family "tRNA". From Rfam's summary of the family: Transfer RNA (tRNA) molecules are approximately 80 nucleotides in length. Their secondary structure includes four short double-helical elements and three loops (D, anti-codon, and T loops). The record is from RNAcentral. Lineage: Eukaryota; Viridiplantae; Chlorophyta; Chlorophyceae; Chlamydomonadales; Chlamydomonadaceae.